This 590-nucleotide ribosomal RNA is filed under the name Salmonella enterica subsp. enterica serovar Kentucky. Its description in RNAcentral is "bacterial SSU rRNA". It matches the Rfam family "Bacterial small subunit ribosomal RNA", at positions 1 to 580 of the family's 1533-position model. The record is from RNAcentral. Lineage: Bacteria; Pseudomonadati; Pseudomonadota; Gammaproteobacteria; Enterobacterales; Enterobacteriaceae.
AAAUUGAAGAGUUUGAUCAUGGCUCAGAUUGAACGCUGGCGGCAGGCCUAACACAUGCAAGUCGAACGGUAACAGGAAGCAGCUUGCUGCUUCGCUGACGAGUGGCGGACGGGUGAGUAAUGUCUGGGAAACUGCCUGAUGGAGGGGGAUAACUACUGGAAACGGUGGCUAAUACCGCAUAACGUCGCAAGACCAAAGAGGGGGACCUUCGGGCCUCUUGCCAUCAGAUGUGCCCAGAUGGGAUUAGCUGGUUGGUGAGGUAACGGCUCACCAAGGCGACGAUCCCUAGCUGGUCUGAGAGGAUGACCAGCCACACUGGAACUGAGACACGGUCCAGACUCCUACGGGAGGCAGCAGUGGGGAAUAUUGCACAAUGGGCGCAAGCCUGAUGCAGCCAUGCCGCGUGUAUGAAGAAGGCCUUCGGGUUGUAAAGUACUUUCAGCGGGGAGGAAGGUGUUGUGGUUAAUAACUGCAGCAAUUGACGUUACCCGCAGAAGAAGCACCGGCUAACUCCGUGCCAGCAGCCGCGGUAAUACGGAGGGUGCAAGCGUUAAUCGGAAUUACUGGGCGUAAAGCGCACGCAGGCGGUC